CCUACGGGAGGCAGCAGUGAGGAAUAUUGGUCAAUGGGCGCGAGCCUGAACCAGCCAAGCCGCGUGAGGGAAGAAGGUCCUGUGGAUUGUAAACCUCUUUUGUCGGGGAGCAAAAGCCGCGACGUGUGCCCGUCUGAGUGUACCUGAAGAAAAAGCAUCGGCUAACUCCGUGCCAGCAGCCGCGGUAAUACGGAGGAUGCGAGCGUUAUCCGGAUUUAUUGGGGUUAAAGGGUGCGCAGGCGGAAGAUUAAGUCAGCGGUAAAAUUGAGGGGCUCAACCUCUGCGAGCCGUUGAAACUGGGUUUCUUGAGUGAGCGAGAAGUAUGCGGAAUGCGUGGUGUAGCGGUGAAAUGCAUAGAUAUCGCGCAGAACUCCGAUUGCGAAGGCAGCAUACCGGCGCUCCACUGACGCUCAUGCACGAAAGUGUGGGUAUCGAACAGGAUUAGAUACCCUAGUAGUC
Molecule: ribosomal RNA, 459 nt
Filed under: uncultured bacterium
Lineage: Bacteria
Description: partial 16S ribosomal RNA
Rfam family: Bacterial small subunit ribosomal RNA
Source: RNAcentral